RNAcentral lists this ribosomal RNA (1145 nucleotides) under uncultured cyanobacterium. RNAcentral's name for it is "bacterial SSU rRNA". It matches the Rfam family "Bacterial small subunit ribosomal RNA", at positions 377 to 1533 of the family's 1533-position model. Lineage: Bacteria; Bacillati; Cyanobacteriota. The record is from RNAcentral.
CGAAGCCUGACGGAGCAAUACCGCGUGAGGGAAGAAGGCUUUUGGGUUGUAAACCUCUUUUGUCAGGGAAGAAGAAUUGACGGUACCUGAAGAAAAAGCAUCGGCUAACUCCGUGCCAGCAGCCGCGGUAAUACGGAGGAUGCAAGCGUUAUCCGGAAUCAUUGGGCGUAAAGGGUCCGCAGGUGGCGAAUAAAGUCUGCUGUUAAAGACCGGGGCUAAACUCCGGAAAGGCAGUGGAAACUGAUUAGCUAGAGUACGGUAGGGGUAGAGGGAAUUCCCAGUGUAGCGGUGAAAUGCGUAGAUGUUGGGAAGAACACCGGUGGCGAAAGCGCUCUACUAGGCCGAAACUGACACUGAGGGACGAAAGCCAGGGUAGCGAAAGGGAUUAGAUACCCCUGUAGUCUUAGCUGUAAACGAUGGAUACUAGGCGUAGCUUGUAUCGACCCGAGCUGUGCCGAAGCUAACGCGAUAAGUAUCCCGCCUGGGGAGUACGCACGCAAGUGUGAAACUCAAAGGAAUUGACGGGGGCCCGCACAAGCGGUGGAGUAUGUGGUUUAAUUCGAUGCAACGCGAAGAACCUUACCAGGGCUUGACAUGUCGCGAAUCUGGCGGAAACGUUAGAGUGCCUUAGGGAACGCGAACACAGGUGGUGCAUGGCUGUCGUCAGCUCGUGUCGUGAGAUGUUGGGUUAAGUCCCGCAACGAGCGCAACCCUCGCCCUUAGUUGCCAAUAUUAAGUUAGGCACUCUAGGGAGACUGCCGGGGACAACUCGGAGGAAGGUGGGGAUGACGUCAAGUCAGCAUGCCCCUUACGUCCUGGGCGACACACGUACUACAAUGGUUGGGACAAAGGGCAGCAAGCUCGCGAGAGUAAGCGAAUCUCAUCAAACCCAGCCACAGUUCAGAUUGCAGGCUGCAACUCGCCUGCAUGAAGUAGGAAUCGCUAGUAAUCGCAGGUCAGCAUACUGCGGUGAAUUCGUUCCCGGGCCUUGUACACACCGCCCGUCACAUCAUGGAAGCUGGCUACGCCCGAAGUCGUUACCCUAACCCGGUUUUGGGAGGGGGAUGCCGAAGGUAGAGCUAGUGACUGGGGUGAAGUCGUAACAAGGUAGCUGCACCGGAAGGUGUGGCUGGAUCACCUCCUUU